ACUCCUACGGGAGGCAGCAGUGGGGAAUAUUGGACAAUGGGGGGAACCCUGAUCCAGCCAUGCCGCGUGUGUGAAGAAGGCCUUUUGGUUGUAAAGCACUUUAAGCGAGGAGGAGGCUACCGAGAUUAAUACUCUUGGAUAGUGGACGUUACUCGCAGAAUAAGCACCGGCUAACUCUGUGCCAGCAGCCGCGGUAAUAC
This 200-nucleotide ribosomal RNA is filed under the name uncultured bacterium. Its description in RNAcentral is "partial 16S ribosomal RNA". It matches the Rfam family "Bacterial small subunit ribosomal RNA", at positions 335 to 526 of the family's 1533-position model. The record is from RNAcentral.